Xiphophorus hellerii (green swordtail) is the source of this 5075-nucleotide long non-coding RNA. RefSeq lists it as uncharacterized. The transcript has 2 exons. The record is from RefSeq and is a predicted model, not a curated record. Lineage: Eukaryota; Metazoa; Chordata; Actinopteri; Cyprinodontiformes; Poeciliidae.
UUGCCGACCCCUGGACUAGUGCUGCUAGGCGAGUCCGCUGCGCUGUGGGCCGCUGGGUCUUGCCUCCGUAGCACUCCGAGGUCACGUAAACACUCCAAAGUAUUUAUGAGUCCAAAAUCACUUGAUGAUCGUAAUUCCAGCAGACGCUGGCGAUCAUAUGCUAACUUACUGAGUGGAUGCAAAGUUUGUAGCGUUAUAGGCGGCGUAUUUUGCUCAAAUACUCGCAAGUUGUUGAGGGGGGCCGCAGCCAUACAGGGCGCCGCCAUACUCAAAAAAAAUAAUGAAAACAUGUAUCCUUUUUUCUUUGUUUCCCUUAUUUGGAAGGUUUGCUUUACAAUUUGAGAUUUGGAUGUUCAUUUCACAUGAUUGUUAUGAUUUUUCUUUAGAAAAUAAUGACCAUGUUCGGGUGGUUCACAAACUUUCAAGCAGCACUGUAUGUUCUCAUUAGCCAAUUAUAUUGCAGUACUUUGAGGCGUGUAUUGGUAGUUUGUGUUUGUGCUUCAGCACACGCCUUCUCCCAGGCCUCUGAAGGCAAGUUCUCCUCUGGGCAUUGAGCCUGGAGGGCAUUGAGCCUGGAGGGCUCAAUGCCCUCCAGGCAUUGAGCUUCCAUAAAGGAGACUCAGAGGAUCCCUCCACUAACAUGCUAUAUAGUUUGGAGAUAAUUCCUUUUCUAAAGCAAUCCUUCUUUAUUUCGAUUUCCAAGGUGGACAUCUGAAGGAUGGACUCACAUUGAUUUUGAGAUGCUCUAAUAAAAUUUCUCACUUGUAGAUAUUUAAAAUAAUGUUUACUUGGGAUAUCAUACCUGGCCUUCAACUCUUCAAAUGACAUCAAAACCCCAUCCUCUGAUUCCACAAGAUCUCCUAUUGUCUUUAAAUCUUUUCCAGCCCAUUUCCUAAAACCAGGAUCCAGCCCCAUAUUGGACUGAAGCGUGAUAGGGAGGAGGAAUCACCUAAAUACUUCUUAACCUGAUACCAAACCAAGAUCAUAUUUCUGACUAUAGGGUUUUUUGUCUUUUUUUUUUCAGCAUUCUGAUGUUUGCUUAGUAAAUGUACUGGGGUAGAGGGAGAGGUACAGAACAAUUUUCAAUAUUCACCCCUGGCAAGAGACAUUUAUCUGUAAAAUAAUACAUCAUAGUCCUCAAUUGAGCUGCCCAAUAAUACCAAAGUGGAUUGGGGCACCUGAGGCCUCCUCUAUCAUACGGUAGAUACAGAAGUGUUAAACGAAGCCUUGGUCGUCUAUUAUUCCACAGAAAACAUAUGAAAAUGUUUUUUAGGGCCGAAAAUAAAUUGGCAGGAGGUGGCAAUGGGAUGUUCUGAAACAAAUACAGAAGUUUGGGCAUUAUAUUGGAUUUAAGGACAUUGAUUCGUGCUAUAAGUGACAAGGGCAAGUGAUUCCAUCUAUCCAUAGAGGCAGCAAUUGAGUCUAUCAUUGGGUUAUAGUUAGGCCUGUCACGAUAACAAAUUUUGCUGAACGAUUAAUUGUCUCUAAGAAAACAUUUUGCUCUUGGUCCUUAUGCGUCAUGUCUGAGCUGUAUAAUUUUUCAAAAAAGACCUUAAAAAUUUCAUUGAUUUCUAAUGGAUCGGUAAUAAUCUGUCCCUGAUUAUUUUCGACUGAGGUAAUAUUUUUCUCAUUUUGUAAUUGUCGGAGUCGUCAGGCUAAUAAUUUCCCAGGCUUUUCCCCUUGAUCAUAGAACGACUGCUUAAGAUGCAAAAGUUGUGAGGCGGCUUUUGAGGCAGAAAGUUCAUUAUACUGUGUUCUUAGUAUCAGAAGUUUUUUAUGGGUGUUUGAUAGUAAUCCCUCUCAAGCAGCUCAAUCUCUGCUGCCAACUCUUUUGUUUUUUGAUAAGUUUGUUUUGCCUUAUAACUCAUAAAGCUAAUUAUUUGAACCCUUACAUAGGCCUUAAAGGCUUCCCACCUUGAAGAGGGUGAUGUUUCAUCUGUAUUGAUUUCAAAAUAGAUGUUAAUUUGAUUAUCUACAAAAAAUAUAAAUUCUGGGUCUAUGAGCCAAUUUUGUUUAAAUCUCCACCUAGGAGGGUCUCUCCUUAGUCUUAAAUCCUCAUAGAUAAGUGAAUUUGGUGCAUGGUCAGAAAUUAAGAUGCUAUCGUAUUGACAGUCUCUUAUUUUAUUUCUCAAAAUGGCAGAAAUUAAAAAGUAAUCGAUACGCGAAUAUGAUUUAUGUGUAUUUGAAUAACACGAGUAUUUUAAACUUUUGGGAUUCAUAUCUCUCCAAAUAUCCAUCAAAUUAAGUUCCUUCAUAAAGUGUUGAAUUGUUUGUCUACUUUUAGAAUGAGAGUUGUCAGUACCUGAACUUAUGUCCAGUUCUGGGUUCAUUGUGCAGUUAAAAUCUCCUGUUAUAAUAUAGCUGCCAGACAAAGAUGAAAUUGUAAGAAAGAGAUUUUGAAAAAACUUUGGGUCAUCAACAUUUGGGGCAUAAAUAUUUAUCAGGUUUAUUUUUUCUGAGAUAAGUGUGCCCUGUAGAAUAAUAUACCUCCCAGCCCUGUCUUUAAUAACCCUUGUCACAUGGAAUGGUAUGGAUUUAUGAAUCAAAAUCAUAACCCCUCUUGCUUGUGAAGUAAAGGGUGCUGAAUAUAUACCGCCCUGCCACCUCCUGCCAAUCUUUGCCUCCUCACCAGACAACAGGUGAGUUUCCUGAAAUAACACAAUAUCAGAGUGCAUAGAUUUCACCCUAGUCAUUAUCUGUUUAACUUUUUUUAGUUUCUGUAAUCCCCCGCAGUUCCAAGAAGACACUUUAAUUCUUAACCCACCAGACAUACUGUGUGACACUUAAUGGGCUUCCUAGUAUUUUCAAACUGUUUAAAGACAAAGAAACCAAGAACAUCUGGAUGUUUAAAGCUACAUCCAUAAUAAUAAUGAACACUGAACAGUAUACCCCUUUGGAACUCUGUUGCCCUCCCUCCUCCCCCCCCUUUAAUACUCUGGUACCCAUCUAACAGCUGAAGGCCGUUCCACAUGAAAGUGAGGAUCAGCCGACUGUGCUUGACUAUUUUUCCCUCUUACCCUACCCCACUACAUAAGAAACUCGUUACUGAUUGUGUCCAAAAAAAUAAGAAAAAGGUAAAUAAAAGUAGGCUAUUGACUAUGAGCCUCUGGGAUAGCAAACAAGAAAUAUGAUAAACUAAUUUUAAUUCUUACUUAUUUUACUUAACUUUAGGUACCGUAAUUGUCCAUCCCUGUUAAUAUGUUGCAAUGUAAUGAUGUCGUCAUUGUCUCACCCAGGUCUGCUUUCUGCUUUCAGAGUCCUUACAAAGUUCUCUGCUUCAGCUGGUUGGUUAAAGAUGGGAGACUGACCGUUGUGUGUCACCAGCAGUCGAGCGGGAGGAAUCAUGCCGUAUGUAGCAGUGUGAUGUUAUUACACUAGAUUGUAAAGUGGGAAGCUAAUCCUGUAGGAAAUUAUAUAAGCACCGACAGCUUUUAUUUUGAAAAGUCGACAGAUCCAUUUCAAAACAGCGGAUAACUUCCUGUUUCAAAAUUAUUAUUUUUAUUAAAAUUUUAUGUGUUACGAAGGAAAAUGCAAAUUAUCAUCUUUACUGUUGAAUAUAUUGAGUUCCUGGAUUGUUGUUUCGAGCGUCAGUUCAGCAUUUUAAAAGACAAGUUAACGGAUCAUACCAUUAUAGUUUGAUAAGGGUUUUCCCGCGCUCUCCGUUGCGCUCUUUCUGUCCAGAUUCUGUGGGAGAAGGUAUGAAGUUUUGCUUUCUGUGUUCAAUAAGUGUUUUUGAGCAUAAUAAGUGACAAAUUGAUUACUGUUCUUGUAAGAUAAUGUGCUUUGGAGCACUUAAACUGUUAAACAGUGAUAGAAUUGUGUUAACAGCUAGUUAUGCUACAUGAAACAUUGCUAAUGGAAAUGCUACAUUCAUGUGCUAAAAAUAGUGAUGUUCAUGGUUAAACAGGUGUGGAGCACUGUGACAAGAAAAGCCUGUUUUCAGUCACUAUUUUCUGCUGUUUGAAUGCAGAUUCUGUGGGAGAAGGCGCUGUGGAGCACUGUGACAAGAAAAGCCUGUUUUCAAUCACUAUUUUCUGCUGUUUGAAUGCAGGAGCAUUAAAAGUGCCUUCAGAGCAGCGGUUGUCUGGCUAUUAUUUCACACAAGAUACAACGCAGAAUCAACUACACUAUCGUAUCCCCAUGGUACGGAGUUGUUGUCUCACGCCAUCAAACUCUUUCUGUUUUUUGUGCACACCGGCUGCGAGGUUCUCAUAAAAUCUCACCGGAUGGUUCUUGAAUAGAAUCUGUCCCUUCAUCCUGGCGGCUCUUAUCACAGUUGCUUUAUCCCUGUAGUUUAAGAACUUCAUAAUAAGAGUCCUUGGUGUAGCGGUGUUAGAUGUGCUUUUCUGGCUAAGCCGGUGUGCUCUCUCCAGUGUCAGAGUGGUGUGUAGCGGUGCCAGGUUCAGAGCCUCCGGUAGCCACUUUUCCAGAAAGGCGUAGGCGUCCUCUCCCUCCGCACCCUCGGGAAGGUUAACCAGUCUCAGGUUAGAUCGUCGCGAUCUGGUCUCCAAGUCCAACACUUUUCCUUCGAGCUCUUUAUUUUUAUUUUUGAGGACCUGGACCCUAGCUUGUAGACUGGUGAUGUUAUCUUCUGCUGCAGAUAUUCUCACUUCCGCCUCACCAACCCGCUCGGCGAACUCCUUAACAUCCUUUUUUACAUUCUCUAUUGCUGAUAGAAUACCGUCCAGUCUGGAGGAGAAAUCUGAUUUCAAAUUUGCAAUUGCAGCCAGUAUCGCCUCUGAACCAGCUUCAACCGUCUUAUUCUUCUCAUUCAACUUGCAGUUUUCCUCCUCCAUUGACUUGCACGUGGUGGCGUUAGCCUCGCUAUUUUCACAGCUAGCUUCAGAGCUCACCUUAGAAGUGAAGUUAGAUAACUUCGAUUGAGUCGAUUUGCUGGAGUUUUUACUGGGCUUCCUUUGUGAGAAAGGCAUUACAGCUGUUUUAAACGUAGUUCAGUGUCACUUGUAACGAGUACUUUCCAGGAUUUUACAGAACGGUAGCGGAGCCAAAGCGAGCGCGUCCUCUCAGCAAGCCGCCAUUACCGGAACCCUUGUUCAGCGCUCUUAUCUAGAGAA